GCCCAGGUAAAGGAGGAGGGAGGAAGGCUUGAGCGUCGCAAAGUCAAUAGCAGAGGAAGCUGGGCAUUUUAUCAAUAAUCUCCCAUCAGACGGACAGUUUGGAUCACUGAAUCAUUGUUGUUACCUUUGGAUCUUUGUUGUCAUUUUCUUGCUGAAUGUUGAUGGUAAGUUCAAUCUCAACAUGUUGUUGCUGAAGUUGAUAUAUGGUUUGCUUUGGAUUCUCAAUAUAAUAAACUUCCCUGGAUCUGUUCAUUUGAUUAGGUUUUUCCCUUCUGAUUCUUCUUUAUAUAUAUACAUAUAUAUAUCUAUAUAUAUAUUCCAAAUUUUUAUUCUCCUUUAAUGAAUGUGUGUUUUGUUAGAUUUGGAGAGAUGGGGGUCUCUGGAUUUUCUUUAGAUUUUAGGGAAAUGCUGCUUUCUAUUAACAUGGUGGCCAUUUCUUGACUUAGAAUGCUACAGAUUCUCAUUUUGUAAUUCUCUUGAUUAAACUGAAUGUUUGUAAUUAUGUUCACUUGUGCAUCCAAAUGCAGCCUUAAUGUUUUUGCCCUUUUGGAUGCUUCUUAACUUGACAGCUUGAAAUCUGGAUACAAGCUGCACAAGAUCCUUGAAAUGUUGAGUUUCUAUUUUCGAUUUUAGCAAGAAGGGAUUACGUCUGGGAUUUUAGCUACACAAGAUGCAGGAAAGGAAGGCUUCUCCAUACAACCAAGCAAUGACUUCAACGCAUCUAAGUUACCCUCUUCAAAGAUGAGAAGAUUCAUCAAUGUAAUCAACAUAAAAAGUAUCCCUUCCAUAUGAAUUCAGGUUGUGGUAUUGAUAGGGAGUUCAGCUAGUGUUGUCGACGUCUCUAGGGACAUUGCCAAAGUUGCUAAGGAAGUUCAUAUAUCAUCAAGAUCUACACUGGAUGGACCAACAGCAAUAUUACAUUCUGCAUUUUUUCCCACUAGAGUUGCGUUCGCAAAAUAUUCAAUACAUGCAAAAGGUGAGUCACAUACCAUGAAACUUGUUAUAGAAAUUGGGCCAAUCUACUCAUUGGGUAGGCUAUAAGUCAAAAUCAAUGGCCAGCUAAUGGACAUCUAGCUAAUCACAUGACAUCAAGUAAAUAAUUAUUGGU
This is a long non-coding RNA of Magnolia sinica, 1108 nucleotides long. RefSeq lists it as uncharacterized. Lineage: Eukaryota; Viridiplantae; Streptophyta; Magnoliopsida; Magnoliales; Magnoliaceae. The record is from RefSeq and is a predicted model, not a curated record. The transcript has 4 exons.